UGGCGGACGCUGGGCGAACUGCACCCGAGGAAAGCGUCGCAGCCACUUCCCUGCCCAGGCGGGUCGGCCAUCCCUCGGCGCCGCUCUGAGAGCCCCAGCUGGCGGCAGGAAGGAGGCGCCCGCAGUGCCAUUCCGGCCAUUCCAGGAGACACCGACCACGAGCGGGCGCCCGGCGUCUGGCCGAGCGGCAGGCCUCCGCGGAGUCUGCUAAGUCUCCGGGAUGAAAGUGACGCAUAUCUCCCUUCCCGCCGUUCGCUCCAUAGUCUCCCACCACACUAAGCAAGAAGCAACAUUCUCCAAGGACCUUCCCUCUGUGAAAACACGACCAAGUUCCCGGCUCCAAGCUUAUUUGCGACCGCAUUUUGAAGGGCCUCGGGUCAUCGGCAGGCACCGGGUGCCUGCCCCUCCCCAUUCUGACCUCUCGCCCAGCAGUUGUGACAAGAAACUAUAGGCAAUGAACAAGUCCACAGUUCGAUUUGGAACAUACAGGACAAUUUAUUGAAGUCAAUCUCAAGCAAAAUCUGAAGUCAGUGGAAUGUCAUUAAGAACCUUUCCAAAUUAAUCCUCACGGAAGCAAAAAACACAUCCGAAUUCCAAAGUAUUUGUAAAAUAAAAAAAGGCAACAUCUCAGUAAAUAUAAUGUACAAAAAUUUAUGUUCCUACCGGCACACACAGUAGUAAGAAGCUUAAAAUUCCAGGCAAUCCUAAAUAUACAGUAACUAGUCAACAAUAAGCUAUCUAUAUACAGGUUAACCAAGCUUUACACGUUUCACACUAUGCAGUAAAACAUAGGCCAUUCAACAAAACCCCCAAAAUAUCAUAUAUCUUGAAGUCUAUGUGGCAACAUCAAGUCAUUAUACAGUAAUGCCCUAGUGGAAUGCCCCCCAGGGAAAACGAACACUAAUCCCUUAGUGUCAAGAGCUUCUAGCCAAGUCACAGAAACUCAAAAGAGAUUGACUUUAGUGAAUAUUGAUGCUUUGUUAUUAAAGACUCAAGUCUCAAGUGAUUUAGGCAAAAUAACAUUUCACAGGAUCUACAAAUUUAUUACAGAUAAACAAAGUACAGAAAUAACCAAUCUACAAAGGUCAUUAUAGAUAAAGAUCACAAGAAAAAGAAAACAAUCUGUAGGUAUCUGUGUUUGCUGUGCAAUAUCACAAGUGGUUACAAAUGAAUUUCUCCUAUCAAUUCCAAUUACGCACACACCCUUGUAUAGAAAAAGGAUCUUAUUAGCUAGUUGUAAUCAUCAUUUAAUAUCAAUCAUCAUUUAGUAUCUUGGUCAUCGGAGGCAAUGUGAUUUUCUUUUUUAACAGAGGGUAUGUGACAGCACAAAUGAGAUAAAGAGCAGUAUUAAUGACAACAGAGUAAAAGGUAAAUUGUAUCCAGUCCACUCCUAACCCGACAAGAAUACCUCAUACAUACCUCGUCUCGGUGAUCUGAGGGACACUGCGCGCCCCGCGUGCACACAUCGAAGGUCUGUGGCAGGUGGGGGGGGGACCGGCGCCUGAGGGGGCUUGCCUGCCAACUCGCAGAUCCGGAGGGUCACACAAGAAAAGUAAGGACUGAAUAAAUGACUUUGGCAACUGUUCAUCUUUUUCGCUUUUUCUUACACGUAACUGACUUUCACAGGCUACAGAAGGGCAGGCUGCUCUCCUCCUCCCCACCACACACACAUCUGUGCCACAAGCACCUGAACUUGUCACUUAAGCAAUGGACUGACGGAGAAAAGAACGGAAAUCGUUUCUGAAACACACACAGACUACACCCUGCGUUUCAGGAGUGUAACGUAAGUGCAAAUUUUUGUUUUUUCCCCUACACAGGCAUAUAUAUUAAAAGGAAAGAAGAGGUGCAUGGGGAUGGGGUUGACAAAAAUACAAGAGAAAGAACACACAUGGGAAAUACUCAUAAAAAUGCUGGUAUUUCAUGCAAGAGUCUCUUCCUCGAAUGUGUACAUGAAAUCUGAGCUAUCUGCUGUGGACACUCCAUCCCAUUCGCAGAACUUUGCCUUUAAUCCAAGUUGAAGAGGACAAGAGACUAGGCAAUUUGUUUUCAAAACAGUAUACAAAACAAUGCUUUCUACUUCAUAAAUUUAAAAAUAACUGUAAAAUAAAGGGAAUCUGAAGAGUUUCAAGUACUUAAAAAACCUGAAUUCAAUGAGGCAGAGGUCUCAAUGUUAAAGUGACUACUUCGUACCUGUGGUAAACAUUGUCAUUCCCCCUCCCUCACCCUGUUCUAACCCCCUUUUCUUCCUGUACCCUGCCCCGGGGGAAAAGUUGGUAGAUUUCAGUACGUACACAUUUCCAACUUUUCAAUAUUCAUUAAUACAUGGCAAAGCCAUCUAAUCAGAUCUCUCCCUAGCUUAGCUGAAAAUGGAGGCGAGUUCUCCUCUCAGUUUACAGACAACCAGGGACCAACUGCAAGUGGCCUAGGCCAACGGAAAUCCUUCCAAAUGAUCACUUUGUGUGUGCAGCAACCUGGCCAACUCCAGAAGUCGAAUCUGCUCCGCCCGGCAAUAAAGCCACUUGCCAGUGGCAUCGCACCUCCUCCCAGAUUUGCCAGUGAACAAAACCAACUACAGACCACGAGAGAGCAACGCGUCCUUUGGCCCACCGGGUUGGUGAGCGCAGGCAAGCACGGCGCGUGCACACGCUGCGCAUGGGAAGCACAGCUUUCUCCCCCAGCUUUCGCUUCCACAGCCUGCAACGUGAAGAUACGUAAAACAGGUCGGUCGUGACACCACGGAGGUGUGAGGAGAGCUAUGGGCCACUGACGGGACGAAAGCCUCUUUCUGGACCACUGAAGAGCACUCCUGGAUGAAGCCUCCAGAGCUGUAGUUAGUAGCUAUUUUGUUUUUUACCCUAAUUUCUGAAAUGGCAGAAUGAUCCUGUUAGGUACCCUCCCACCCCCCCAAAAAAAGAUUUAAAAAUCUCAGCAGAGCCAUUAUGACAAAAUGUGACAUGACGAGGAAGCUGCAUGAAAAUACUGAAACCUAAGGUAUUUGUAAGUAUACGGAUGGACCCUGGCUUACCAUACAAAAGUCAUCAGAUAUUAAAUAGCACUAAGUCCAAAACAAAGCAAGAAGAGAAGAGUUCAUGUAGGAUACGGUUUCAACAAGUUAUAUUUUGAACGUUAAAAGAAAUCCUUCAUAUUAGUAAGUUUAAAAAAAAGCAAACAUUUAUCUCAUAUAUAUAUACACACACAUAUAUAUAUAUAAAAUAAAGUUUUAGUAUGAUAAAACCUAGAUUUUCUUAAAUUAUUUUUUAAAAGGAUAUCAAACUAUAUAAUUGCUCAAGAGCAAAGUUUAGUGUUUUGGUGCGCUGUGCUGCACGUUACUGUAGCCAUUCGAUCUGGUAACAUGCACAGCAUUUUCCAUUUCGCUCUUUCUCCUGGGACCAUAUCUAAUCAAGAGAAUUCCUGGAGGCUCUAUAAGUUACCUCAGAAUUAAUUGCUGGAAUCAGGCAAAUGGCAGUUUAGGAGCUUAAGUAAAGGAAUUGUAGUGUGAUAUAUAUUUUUUUGUUUUAUGUUUUUUUACAAGAGAAAAUCCAGUUCAAUUGCACAUUUACAUUAAAAAAAAAAAAAAA
Molecule: long non-coding RNA, 3578 nt
Organism: Enhydra lutris kenyoni (northern sea otter)
Lineage: Eukaryota; Metazoa; Chordata; Mammalia; Carnivora; Mustelidae
Exons: 2
Source: RefSeq, a predicted model, not a curated record